This is a long non-coding RNA of Rosa rugosa (rugosa rose), 761 nucleotides long. RefSeq lists it as uncharacterized. The record is from RefSeq and is a predicted model, not a curated record. NCBI's taxonomy places the organism in Eukaryota, Viridiplantae, Streptophyta, Magnoliopsida, Rosales, Rosaceae. The transcript has 3 exons.
UUUCUGUUGUGUGAUAACGUCGUCACCGUCCAAACUCUCUUGGCUCAAAUCAAGCCUUCACUUUCCAGCACCGUUGGUAAGAGGACCAAGAGGGAGGUCAUCGAGAAGCAGGUCAUCGGGCUCAAAUUGGAGGGUCCGAAGAUCAGAAUCGGAGCUCUGGUAGACGGCGGAGGUGGAACCUGCUACGUUGGGAGUAGCGGAGGAGCUCCGGUCAGGAAGGACUUGGUGUUCUAGCCUUUAUCAGAAGACUCCCAGAGGCUCUGGUGCUAGAAGCUCCUUGAAUUCAUUGAUUCUCUCGGACGGCUAAAGAGGCUGUCUGUUUUUGUGAAUCUGUUUGAAGGGAGCAAAUCGGCUUCAAAGAUUUUUGUUGAUGAAGUGAAGCCGCUUUUUGAUGAUGCUGGUGUUCAGUUUACACUGCAAGGUUUGAAAUCUUGUGCAUAAGAUAGUUAUUAUAUGUUGUUGAGCUUAGGAUUUUAGGUUGUAUUAUUAUUGAAUGAACUGUGGACAUAUUGAAGAGUCAGUUCAGCUCUUUCUUUCCUAGCUGUCAUAGCUGACAAAGCUAUGCUAUCAAACAAUUUCAACUAUUAUUUUUAAGUUCUUAGAUCUGACUUCUUCUUUACAGAGCUGAAAAAAUUGGCAUAAUUUUGUUUGUUUAAACUGUAGAGUAGGUGGCAUGGGAAUCUUGGCAUUUUCCUACAAGGAACAAAUUAUGACAUUUCAACAUUAGAAGCAGUAGUAGUUUUGCCAAUUUGACUACACUU